This 21-nucleotide non-coding RNA is filed under the name Rattus norvegicus (Norway rat). The record is from RNAcentral. Lineage: Eukaryota; Metazoa; Chordata; Mammalia; Rodentia; Muridae.
UUCGGUAAUCAAAUGGUAGCC